AGAGUUUGAUCCUGGCUCAGGAUGAACGCUAGCGGCAGGCCUAACACAUGCAAGUCGAGGGGCAGCAUUUCCAGCUUGCUGGAAGAUGGCGACCGGCGCACGGGUGCGCAACGCGUAUGGAACCUGCCCUCUGCAGGGGAAUAGCCCAUGGAAACGUGGAUUAAUGCCCCAUAGUACCGUUGACCGGCAUUGGUCUUCGGUUAAAGCCUUCGGGCGGCAGGGGAUGGCCAUGCGUACCAUUAGCUAGUUGGUAAGGUAACGGCUUACCAAGGCCACGAUGGUUAGGGGCCCUGAGAGGGGGAUCCCCCACACUGGUACUGAGACACGGACCAGACUCCUACGGGAGGCAGCAGUGAGGAAUAUUGGACAAUGGGCGAGAGCCUGAUCCAGCCAUGCCGCGUGCAGGAAGACGGCCCUAUGGGUCUUAAACUGCUUUUGUACGGGAAGAAAAAGGGGCACGUGUGCCCUGUUGACGGUACCGUAAGAAUAAGGACCGGCUAACUCCGUGCCAGCAGCCGCGGUAAUACGGAGGGUCCGAGCGUUAUCCGGAAUUAUUGGGUUUAAAGGGUCCGUAGGCGGGCCAUUAAGUCAGGGGUGAAAGUCUGCGGCUCAACCGCAGAACUGCCUUUGAUACUGGUGGUCUUGAGUUAUGGUGAAGUGGCCGGAAUAUGUAGUGUAGCGGUGAAAUGCAUAGAUAUUACAUAGAACACCGAUCGCGAAGGCAGGUCACUAACCAUUUACUGACGCUGAUGGACGAAAGCGUGGGGAGCGAACAGGAUUAGAUACCCUGGUAGUCCACGCCGUAAACGAUGGAUACUAGCUGUCCGGGGCCUUGAGUCCUGGGCGGCCAAGCGAAAGUGAUAAGUAUCCCACCUGGGGAGUACGUUCGCAAGAAUGAAACUCAAAGGAAUUGACGG
RNAcentral lists this ribosomal RNA (917 nucleotides) under uncultured bacterium. Its description in RNAcentral is "bacterial SSU rRNA". It matches the Rfam family "Bacterial small subunit ribosomal RNA", at positions 8 to 916 of the family's 1533-position model. The record is from RNAcentral.